Bubalus bubalis (water buffalo) is the source of this 102-nucleotide small nuclear RNA. Lineage: Eukaryota; Metazoa; Chordata; Mammalia; Artiodactyla; Bovidae. The record is from RefSeq and is a predicted model, not a curated record.
GUGCUCGCUUCGGCAGCACAUAUACUAAAAUUGGAACGAUACAGAGAAGAUUAGCAUGGCCCCUGUGCAUCACUCAUUAUCAGAGAAAUGCAAAUCAAAACC